This 566-nucleotide ribosomal RNA is filed under the name uncultured bacterium. RNAcentral's name for it is "partial 16S ribosomal RNA". It matches the Rfam family "Bacterial small subunit ribosomal RNA", at positions 355 to 912 of the family's 1533-position model. The record is from RNAcentral.
UGGGGAAUUUUGGACAAUGGGCGAAAGCCUGAUCCAGCAAUGCCGCGUGUGUGAAGAAGGCCUUCGGGUUGUAAAGCACUUUUGUCCGGAAAGAAAUCCUUGGCUCUAAUACAGUCGGGGGAUGACGGUACCGGAAGAAUAAGCACCGGCUAACUACGUGCCAGCAGCCGCGGUAAUACGUAGGGUGCAAGCGUUAAUCGGAAUUACUGGGCGUAAAGCGUGCGCAGGCGGUUUGCUAAGACCGAUGUGAAAUCCCCGGGCUCAACCUGGGAACUGCAUUGGUGACUGGCAGGCUAGAGUAUGGCAGAGGGGGGUAGAAUUCCACGUGUAGCAGUGAAAUGCGUAGAGAUGUGGAGGAAUACCGAUGGCGAAGGCAGCCCCCUGGGCCAAUACUGACGCUCAUGCACGAAAGCGUGGGGAGCAAACAGGAUUAGAUACCCUGGUAGUCCACGCCCUAAACGAUGUCAACUAGUUGUUGGGGACUUCAUUUUCCUUAGUAACGUAGCUAACGCGUGAAGUUGACCGCCUGGGGAGUACGGUCGCAAGAUUAAAACUUAAAUGAAUUG